Gymnothorax javanicus (giant moray) is the source of this 73-nucleotide non-coding RNA. NCBI's taxonomy places the organism in Eukaryota, Metazoa, Chordata, Actinopteri, Anguilliformes, Muraenidae. The record is from the annotation of a GenBank genome assembly.
UGCCGGAUGGCUCACUCGGAAAAGCAUCGCGUUGCGACCGCCACGGCGCGGGUUCGAUCCCCGCCUCAUACCC